CUGGCAGGACAGGGACCACCGACAACCAGCCGCAAUCAUCAGCGAUCACUCCGUGCUAGUGGUAUUACACCACAUCUUCAGUGUGUCGACUUGAAAGUUACUGGUUUUUUCUAUUCGAUUAAAUCUGGGCAUGAAUUCCUUGCUGAAGCACAGAACAAGGAUGCUAACUUUGGUGACUCUGGUGGAGGAGUGGUGUUCAACAAGAAGAUUGUUGGUCUGAUUUCUCGCAGAGGAAAGAAGUAUGCAUUUCGGAAUCCAAUUUUUAGCAUGGAUGUGUGUGAUUACUUGGAGUGGAUAAGAAACACAACUGGGCUUAAUAAGCCUAAAAUAUCAUGAAAUAACAUUUCACCAAAUUUCCUCUCACAUGUAAUUUUAUUUUUACAUCUCCAUCAGUUUGUUCUAGAGGUUUGUAGAAUUGUCAUAAAUUAAAAGUUUUUUUUUUCUCACCUGACCUUGACCUCCCUAAUGGAGCUUUCUCUGCCUCAGAAAUGAAAAAAUAAAACAAU
Molecule: long non-coding RNA, 506 nt
Organism: Xiphophorus maculatus (southern platyfish)
Lineage: Eukaryota; Metazoa; Chordata; Actinopteri; Cyprinodontiformes; Poeciliidae
Exons: 3
Source: RefSeq, a predicted model, not a curated record